GAUGAACGCUGGCGGCGUGCCUAAUACAUGCAAGUCGAGCGAACGGACGAGAAGCUUGCUUCUCUGAUGUUAGCGGCGGACGGGUGAGUAACACGUGGAUAACCUACCUAUAAGACUGGGAUAACUUCGGGAAACCGGAGCUAAUACCGGAUGAUAUUUUGAACCGCAUGGUUCAAAAGUGAAAGACGGUCUUGCUGUCACUUAUAGAUGGAUCCGCGCUGCAUUAGCUAGUUGGUAAGGUAACGGCUUACCAAGGCAACGAUGCAUAGCCGACCUGAGAGGGUGAUCGGCCACACGGGAACUGAGACACGGUCCAGACUCCUACGGGAGGCAGCAGUAGGGAAUCUUCCGCAAUGGGCGAAAGCCUGACGGAGCAACGCCGCGUGAGUGAUGAAGGUCUUCGGAUCGUAAAACUCUGUUAUUAGGGAAGAACAUAUGUGUAAGUAACUGUGCACAUCUUGACGGUACCUAAUCAGAAAGCCACGGCUAACUCCGUG
RNAcentral lists this ribosomal RNA (497 nucleotides) under uncultured bacterium. RNAcentral describes it as "partial 16S ribosomal RNA". It matches the Rfam family "Bacterial small subunit ribosomal RNA", at positions 28 to 507 of the family's 1533-position model. The record is from RNAcentral.